UGGUUAAAAAGCUCGUAGUUGGAUCUCAACAGCCUUGGAAGCGGUUAACUUUGUAGUUUUACUGCUUCAUAGGCUGUGCUUUUGCUGGAGGUUUAGGGGUGCUCUUGAUCGAGUGUCUCUGGAAUGCCAGCAGGUUUACUUUGAAAAAAUUAGAGUGCUCAAAGCAGGCUAAAAUGCCUGAAUAUUCGUGCAUGGAAUAAUAGAAUAGGAUGUCAAUCCUAUUUUGUUGGUUUUCGGGACUCGACAUAAUGAUAAAUAGGGACAGUCGGGGGCAUUUGUAUUCAAACGACAGAGGUGAAAUUCUUGGACCGUUUGAAGACAAACUACUGCGAAAGCAUUUGCCAAGAAUGUUUUCAUUAAUCAAGAACGAAAGUUAGAGGUUCGAAGGCGAUUAGAUACCGCCCUAGUUCUAACCAUAAACGAUGCCAGCUAGCGAUCUGCCUGCGUUUUUACUGUAGACUGGGCAGGAAGCUUCCGGGAAACCAA
This 486-nucleotide ribosomal RNA is filed under the name uncultured marine eukaryote. Its description in RNAcentral is "SSU rRNA". It matches the Rfam family "Eukaryotic small subunit ribosomal RNA", at positions 616 to 1101 of the family's 1831-position model. The record is from RNAcentral.